AUUGAACGCUGGCGGCAGGCCUAACACAUGCAAGUCGAACGGAGUGGCGGACGGGUGUGUAAUGUAUGGGAAACUGCCUUGUAGGGGGGGAUAACGUCGGGAAAGGGGCGCUAAUACCGCAUACUAUCAGAUUAGCCUAGGUCGGGUUAGCUAGUUGGUGGGGUAAAGGCCUACCAAGGCGACGAUCCGUAACUGGUCUGAGAGGAUGAUCAGUCACACUGGAACUGAGACACGGUCCAGACUCCUACGGGAGGCAGCAGUGGGGAAUAUUGGACAAUGGGCGCAAGCCUGAUGCAGCAAUGCCGCGUGUGUGAAGAAGGUCUUCGGAUUGUAAAGCACUUUAAGUUGGGAGGCGUUACCAACAGAAUAAGCACCGGCUAACUUCGUGCCAGCCGCCGCGGUAAUUC
This 407-nucleotide ribosomal RNA is filed under the name uncultured bacterium. RNAcentral describes it as "partial 16S ribosomal RNA". It matches the Rfam family "Bacterial small subunit ribosomal RNA", at positions 30 to 526 of the family's 1533-position model. The record is from RNAcentral.